GAUAUGUUGUGCCCCGUCGGUGCCACUCUCAGACUUGAUGUCGGACUGGCUUAAUAGGGAAUCCGGUGGAAAUCCGGAACUGCCCCGCAGCGGUAAGCGGAAACGAAAGCCAACAACGCACUGGCCCUCAGCGGCUGGGAAGCGGGAGCGAGUAGGUCGGGUCGCAAGGCCCGUGGUCCGCGAGUCCGAAGACCUGCCGACACAUCGUGGCCUGA
Molecule: non-coding RNA, 215 nt
Filed under: Dyella jiangningensis
Lineage: Bacteria; Pseudomonadati; Pseudomonadota; Gammaproteobacteria; Lysobacterales; Rhodanobacteraceae
Source: RNAcentral